AACACUGUUAACCUGCGGUACCUGCGGAGGGAUCAUUACCGAGUCUACAAACUCCCAACCCUUCUGUGAACAUACCUGCCGUUGCUUCGGCGGGACGCCCCGGCGCCCUGAGCCCGGACCCAGGCGCCCGCCGGAGACCCCAAACUCCACUGUAUUUUGAGCACCGUAUUUUUAUCUGAGUGGCAAACGCAAAACAAAUCAAUCAAAACUUUCAGCAACGGAUCUCAGAUCGGAAGAGCA
Molecule: unclassified non-coding RNA, 240 nt
Filed under: soil metagenome
Description: partial contains 5.8S ribosomal RNA, internal transcribed spacer 2, and large subunit ribosomal RNA
Source: RNAcentral